UUUGUGUUUAUAUUAGCUUUUUAAUAUAUUAAAUUGAGUAAUUAAUUUCUUAUAUUAUAAAAUUAGGUAUUUUCUACCGGCAACUGCAAUGACUAAUUUUUCGAGUUAGGAAAACCACAAUAAACAAUAAAACUCUUCUUUUAAAAUAUUUAAUAAUGUCAUAUAUCUAGGGUUGAGUUCACUACUACAAAUAAUACAUUUCAUGACAUAACUUUCACCUCGCCCUAUCAAAAAUUGAGGUAAAAGGUCA
RNAcentral lists this long non-coding RNA (250 nucleotides) under Lathyrus oleraceus (garden pea). RNAcentral's name for it is "Pisum sativum (pea) long non-coding RNA (PSAT_LNC029071)". Lineage: Eukaryota; Viridiplantae; Streptophyta; Magnoliopsida; Fabales; Fabaceae. The record is from RNAcentral.